GGAUUAGAUACCCUGGUAGUCCACGCCGUAAACGAUGUGUGCUAGUUGUUGGGCCCUUAGGGUUCAGUGACGCAGAGAAAUCAUUAAGCACACCGCCUGGGGAGUACGGCCGCAAGGUUAAAACUCAAAGGAAUUGACGGGGACCCGCACAAGCGGUGGAGCAUGUUGUUUAAUUCGAAGCAACGCGAAGAACCUUACCACCCCUUAACUAUCUUCUUGGGACUUUCAGAGAUGAUUGUCUUCGGUUCGGCCGGGGAAUGAAUAGGUGCUGCAUGGCUGUCGUCAGCUCGUGCCG
RNAcentral lists this ribosomal RNA (295 nucleotides) under uncultured bacterium. RNAcentral's name for it is "partial 16S ribosomal RNA". It matches the Rfam family "Bacterial small subunit ribosomal RNA", at positions 775 to 1067 of the family's 1533-position model. The record is from RNAcentral.